CCUACGGGUGGCAGCAGUGAGGAAUAUUGGUCAAUGGACGCAAGUCUGAACCAGCCAUGCCGCGUGCAGGAUGAAGGCUCUAUGAGUUGUAAACUGCUUUUGUACGAGGGUAAACCCCGAUACGUGGAUCGGGUUGAAAGUAUCGUACGAAUAAGGAUCGGCAAACACCGUGCCAGCAGCCGCGGUAAUACGGAGGAUACGAGCGUUAUCCGGAUUUAGUGGGUUGAAAGGGUGCGUAGGCGGUUUGAUAAGUUUGAGGUGAAAUGUCGGGGCUCAACCCCGAAACUGCCUCCAAUAAUGUUUGACUAGGGAAUAGUUAGGGUAGGCGGAAAGUAUGGUGUAGCGGUGGAAUGCUU
This 356-nucleotide ribosomal RNA is filed under the name uncultured bacterium. RNAcentral's name for it is "partial 16S ribosomal RNA". It matches the Rfam family "Bacterial small subunit ribosomal RNA", at positions 338 to 691 of the family's 1533-position model. The record is from RNAcentral.